GGGGUUGUGGCUCAGUGGUAGAGUGCUCACCUAGCAUGUGCGAGGUGCUGGGUUCAAUCCUCAGCACCA
Molecule: transfer RNA, 69 nt
Filed under: Ictidomys tridecemlineatus (thirteen-lined ground squirrel)
Lineage: Eukaryota; Metazoa; Chordata; Mammalia; Rodentia; Sciuridae
Description: Spermophilus tridecemlineatus (thirteen-lined ground squirrel) tRNA
Rfam family: tRNA
About the family: Transfer RNA (tRNA) molecules are approximately 80 nucleotides in length. Their secondary structure includes four short double-helical elements and three loops (D, anti-codon, and T loops).
Source: Rfam by way of RNAcentral